UCAUGUAGUCUCUGGGUUUUGCUGCAUGUCCCGUUUUAUCGAUAGCUCCUCUUUCCAUAUUAAUAAAACCAUUUCUGCCACCGCGCUGCUUUGGGCAUCUGCAUCCCAUUUAAAAGAAAGAAUACCCAGCUCAGGUUCGGUCUGAUCACCCACGUGUGGUUGGGAGCUGUUGGCAACCUCUGGAAGUGCUGCAAAGUGAUGCACCCACUGCAGGUUUUUCAUCUUCUUCCAAACGCCGAGCGCUGUCUCUGGCUGCACUGCUUACACAGGCACUCUUUCUUUUCCUAGAAUGGCCUUCCUCUUUCACUGAGGGUAUUUUCCAGUUUCUCUCAUGCGUGUGGCAGCACGUGCUGCUCAGUAACCUCACGGAGCUGAGGCAGCUGGCAGACUCUGCUCCCUUCAGCAUUAGCUAUCAUUAGCUCUUUAGCACUGUGUAACAGGACGCUCUGCUCAGCACAGCAGCGUGCACUCAGUAGUUCAGCGAGAGCCUCCAGAACACUGUUCUUGCUGAGGAAUGCCCAAUCCAGAGUCACUUCUUGUUACUAUUCCCAGGAUUCCUUCCCCCAUGCAGUAAUGCCAUGUUUGCACCCCCCUGCCAGAGGGUGCUGGAGCGCAGCUUUCGAUUUAUUGGUGAGCAGGGAGGGCUUUUUGCCAGGAUUUGUCCCAGAAAGUGCUGUGCUUCCUCAGGCCACAUUCCUAAAAGCUGAUGAGAAGCACACUGCAGGGACCAGAGCGAGAUGGGCAGCUUUCAUUUGAACAAGAAAACAUUGCCUGGUGACAGUGGGGAACAGCAGUGGGAAGCCCCCAGUAACGUCGUGUGUGAUUUGGGAUUUUAAAAGGCUUAAUGUUAGAAACACAAGGAUGCUGAACAGGCCCUGCACCUCUGCGCUCUGACAAACAGAGCCAACACUGCCAUGAGAGGGAGAGGCUCAAUGGGGCGGAUGGCACUGCACAGUCCUCAGAGAGAAAAAUCACACCGUCAGCGAGAUGCCAACACGAGAUCCACUUUUCUGCCCACCCUCCGGAAUUGCAAUGAAAUUGUGAAGAAGUCGGUCUUCAAUGAUAUUUGAUUGAUGGCCUUUGAAGGUGGGAUAAAAAAGUCAAUAAAGUCUCAUUUCUU
Molecule: long non-coding RNA, 1120 nt
Organism: Gallus gallus (chicken)
Lineage: Eukaryota; Metazoa; Chordata; Aves; Galliformes; Phasianidae
Source: Ensembl